Molecule: non-coding RNA, 54 nt
Organism: Salmo salar (Atlantic salmon)
Lineage: Eukaryota; Metazoa; Chordata; Actinopteri; Salmoniformes; Salmonidae
Source: Rfam
AAAGAUACCUUUUGUAAGUCGCUUUGGAUAAGAGCGUCUGCUAAAUGACGUAAA